This 58-nucleotide microRNA precursor is filed under the name Heliconius melpomene (postman butterfly). Its description in RNAcentral is "Hme-Mir-124_pre stem-loop". Lineage: Eukaryota; Metazoa; Arthropoda; Insecta; Lepidoptera; Nymphalidae. The record is from RNAcentral.
GCGUUCACUGCGCAGCCAUAUGUGUUCCUAUCCAUCAUAAGGCACGCGGUGAAUGCCA